AAAUUGAAGAGUUUGAUCAUGGCUCAGAUUGAACGCUGGCGGCAGGCCUAACACAUGCAAGUCGAGCGGUAGCACAGAGAGCUUGCUCUCGGGUGACGAGCGGCGGACGGGUGAGUAAUGUCUGGGAAACUGCCUGAUGGAGGGGGAUAACUACUGGAAACGGUAGCUAAUACCGCAUAACGUCGCAAGACCAAAGUGGGGGACCUUCGGGCCUCAUGCCAUCAGAUGUGCCCAGAUGGGAUUAGCUAGUAGGUGAGGUAACGGCUCACCUAGGCGACGAUCCCUAGCUGGUCUGAGAGGAUGACCAGCCACACUGGAACUGAGACACGGUCCAGACUCCUACGGGAGGCAGCAGUGGGGAAUAUUGCACAAUGGGCGCAAGCCUGAUGCAGCCAUGCCGCGUGUGUGAAGAAGGCCUUCGGGUUGUAAAGCACUUUCAGCGGGGAGGAAGGCGUUAAGGUUAAUAACCUUGGCGAUUGACGUUACCCGCAGAAGAAGCACCGGCUAACUCCGUGCCAGCAGCCGCGGUAAUACGGAGGGUGCAAGCGUUAAUCGGAAUUACUGGGCGUAAAGCGCACGCAGGCGGUCUGUCAAGUCGGAUGUGAAAUCCCCGGGCUCAACCUGGGAACUGCAUUCGAAACUGGCAGGCUAGAGUCUUGUAGAGGGGGUAGAAUUCCAGGUGUAGCGGUGAAAUGCGUAGAGAUCUGGAGGAAUACCGGUGGCGAAGGCGGCCCCCUGGACAAAGACUGACGCUCAGGUGCGAAAGCGUGGGGAGCAAACAGGAUUAGAUACCCUGGUAGUCCACGCCGUAAACGAUGUCGAUUUGGAGGUUGUGCCCUUGAGGCGUGGCUUCCGGAGCUAACGCGUUAAAUCGACCGCCUGGGGAGUACGGCCGCAAGGUUAAAACUCAAAUGAAUUGACGGGGGCCCGCACAAGCGGUGGAGCAUGUGGUUUAAUUCGAUGCAACGCGAAGAACCUUACCUGGUCUUGACAUCCACAGAACUUUCCAGAGAUGGAUUGGUGCCUUCGGGAACUGUGAGACAGGUGCUGCAUGGCUGUCGUCAGCUCGUGUUGUGAAAUGUUGGGUUAAGUCCCGCAACGAGCGCAACCCUUAUCCUUUGUUGCCAGCGGUCCGGCCGGGAACUCAAAGGAGACUGCCAGUGAUAAACUGGAGGAAGGUGGGGAUGACGUCAAGUCAUCAUGGCCCUUACGACCAGGGCUACACACGUGCUACAAUGGCAUAUACAAAGAGAAGCGACCUCGCGAGAGCAAGCGGACCUCAUAAAGUAUGUCGUAGUCCGGAUUGGAGUCUGCAACUCGACUCCAUGAAGUCGGAAUCGCUAGUAAUCGUAGAUCAGAAUGCUACGGUGAAUACGUUCCCGGGCCUUGUACACACCGCCCGUCACACCAUGGGAGUGGGUUGCAAAAGAAGUAGGUAGCUUAACCUUCGGGAGGGCGCUUACCACUUUGUGAUUCAUGACUGGGGUGAAGUCGUAACAAGGUAACCGUAGGGGAACCUGCGGUUGGAUCACCUCCUUA
This 1539-nucleotide ribosomal RNA is filed under the name Klebsiella pneumoniae. Its description in RNAcentral is "bacterial SSU rRNA". It matches the Rfam family "Bacterial small subunit ribosomal RNA". The record is from RNAcentral. Lineage: Bacteria; Pseudomonadati; Pseudomonadota; Gammaproteobacteria; Enterobacterales; Enterobacteriaceae.